RNAcentral lists this ribosomal RNA (496 nucleotides) under uncultured bacterium. Its description in RNAcentral is "partial 16S ribosomal RNA". It matches the Rfam family "Bacterial small subunit ribosomal RNA", at positions 29 to 507 of the family's 1533-position model. The record is from RNAcentral.
AUGAACGCUGGCGGCGUGCCUAAUACAUGCAAGUCGAGCGAACAGACGAGGAGCUUGCUCCUCUGACGUUAGCGGCGGACGGGUGAGUAACACGUGGAUAACCUACCUAUAAGACUGGGAUAACUUCGGGAAACCGGAGCUAAUACCGGAUAAUAUAUUGAACCGCAUGGUUCAAUAGUGAAAGACGGUUUUGCUGUCACUUAUAGAUGGAUCCGCGCCGCAUUAGCUAGUUGGUAAGGUAACGGCUUACCAAGGCGACGAUGCGUAGCCGACCUGAGAGGGUGAUCGGCACCACUGGAACUGAGACACGGUCCAGACUCCUACGGGAGGCAGCAGUAGGGAAUCUUCCGCAAUGGGCGAAAGCCUGACGGAGCAACGCCGCGUGAGUGAUGAAGGUCUUCGGAUCGUAAAACUCUGUUAUUAGGGAAGAACAAAUGUGUAAGUAACUAUGCACGUCUUGACGGUACCUAAUCAGAAAGCCACGGCUAACUACGUG